ACACUGCAAAACCUUGUCAAAAUAGGAUAAUCUAUCCAAAAUACAAACCUAGACAUACAGGAAAGGAUUUAUGCAACUUUCUCCACCAAAGCAGAAAAGCACUAAUAUGUGUUAUGUACCGUGGAACAAUGCAAGAAUUAAAGAAUAUAAAGCCAUGGACUGAGGGAACUCUGGUUAGUUGCCUGUUGCCCUUAACUUUGUGACUUUGUUCUGCUUCAUCUUCUGUAAGUGCCUGGUCCUGUUGAACAUAGCUACAAAGCUGCUGACACA
This 270-nucleotide long non-coding RNA is filed under the name Chloebia gouldiae (Gouldian finch). RNAcentral's name for it is "Erythrura gouldiae (Gouldian finch) lncRNA (ENSEGOG00005007136.1)". The record is from RNAcentral. Lineage: Eukaryota; Metazoa; Chordata; Aves; Passeriformes; Passeridae.